AAACCAUGGUGUGGGCAUUGAGCUUGGUAGCCCUUGAAUCUCUCCCAGGCUUCACUGAAGCCUUCCAAGUUCUUCUGUUGAAAGCUAGAAAUCUCAUUUCUCAGCUU
RNAcentral lists this small nucleolar RNA (107 nucleotides) under Brassica oleracea var. oleracea. Its description in RNAcentral is "Plant small nucleolar RNA R71". It matches the Rfam family "Plant small nucleolar RNA R71". Rfam says of the family: R71 is a member of the C/D box family of snoRNAs containing the C (UGAUGA) and D (CUGA) box motifs. Multiple nearly identical copies of this snoRNA have been identified in Arabidopsis, and it is thought to function as a 2'-O-ribose methylation guide for 18S ribosomal RNA. Lineage: Eukaryota; Viridiplantae; Streptophyta; Magnoliopsida; Brassicales; Brassicaceae. The record is from Rfam by way of RNAcentral.